UUAACUAUUUAAUAGUACUCAGACGACACUAACAUUCAGAGUUUAGGGGUCCUCUGGCGGGCACGCUGGACGCGAAUCCAGGCGCCGAAGCGCGGCCCGCCAAAGCAACAUUCUAUAAUGAUACACAAGGGUGGGAGAUCUACCCCGAAGGGCAUGAACUCUGUAAUGAUCCUUCCGCAGGUUCACCUACGGAAA
This 195-nucleotide unclassified non-coding RNA is filed under the name uncultured fungus. RNAcentral's name for it is "sequence contains ITS1, 5.8S rRNA gene". Lineage: Eukaryota; Fungi. The record is from RNAcentral.